This 433-nucleotide ribosomal RNA is filed under the name uncultured bacterium. RNAcentral's name for it is "partial 16S ribosomal RNA". It matches the Rfam family "Bacterial small subunit ribosomal RNA", at positions 29 to 507 of the family's 1533-position model. The record is from RNAcentral.
AACGAACGCUGGCGGCAUGCCUAACACAUGCAAGUCGAACGAGGCUUUCAGGCAUAGUGGCGCACGGGUGCGUAACGCGUGGGAAUCUGCCCUUGGGUUCGGAAUAACAGUGAGAAAUUGCUGCUAAUACCGGAUGAUGUCUUCGGACCAAAGAUUUAUCGCCCAGGGAUGAGCCCGCGUAGGAUUAGCUAGUUGGUGGGGUAAUGGCCUACCAAGGCGACGAUCCUUAGCUGGUCUGAGAGGAUGAUCAGCCACACUGGGACUGAGACACGGCCCAGACCCCUACCCGAGGCAGCAGUGCCGCAGAUUCGCCAGGGGCCGCAAGCCUGUGGCAGCCAGGCCGCGUGACAGACGAAGGUCUUAGGGUGGUAAAGCCUGGUUAGUCGGGAAGAGCAGGAGAGUACCUGGAGAAUAAGCCCCGGCUAACCCCGUG